RNAcentral lists this transfer RNA (75 nucleotides) under Anolis ophiolepis. RNAcentral's name for it is "tRNA-Trp". It matches the Rfam family "tRNA". Rfam says of the family: Transfer RNA (tRNA) molecules are approximately 80 nucleotides in length. Their secondary structure includes four short double-helical elements and three loops (D, anti-codon, and T loops). The record is from RNAcentral. Lineage: Eukaryota; Metazoa; Chordata; Lepidosauria; Squamata; Anolidae.
UAAAAUAAAAACUUAGGAUAACCUAAACCAAGGGCCUUCAAAGCCCUAAAUAAGGGAUAGACCCCCUUAGUUUUU